GCGGUCGUGAUCUAGCCUGGUUAGGAUCUGAGGUUCCCAACCUCAUUGCUCGGGUUCAAAUCCCGGCGGCCGCA
RNAcentral lists this transfer RNA (74 nucleotides) under Thermoplasmata archaeon. RNAcentral describes it as "tRNA-Gly". It matches the Rfam family "tRNA". From Rfam's summary of the family: Transfer RNA (tRNA) molecules are approximately 80 nucleotides in length. Their secondary structure includes four short double-helical elements and three loops (D, anti-codon, and T loops). Further hydrogen bonds mediate the characteristic L-shaped molecular structure. tRNAs have two regions of fundamental functional importance: the anti-codon, which is responsible for specific mRNA codon recognition, and the 3' end, to which the tRNAs corresponding amino acid is attached (by aminoacyl-tRNA synthetases). tRNAs cope with the degeneracy of the genetic code in two manners: having more than one tRNA (with a specific anti-codon) for a particular amino acid; and 'wobble' base-pairing, i.e. permitting non-standard base-pairing at the 3rd anti-codon position. RNAcentral also lists the same sequence under 2 other names. Lineage: Archaea; Methanobacteriati; Thermoplasmatota; Thermoplasmata. The record is from RNAcentral.